RNAcentral lists this ribosomal RNA (1429 nucleotides) under metagenome. RNAcentral describes it as "bacterial SSU rRNA". It matches the Rfam family "Archaeal small subunit ribosomal RNA". The record is from RNAcentral.
GUUGAUCCUGCGGGAGGUCGCUGCUAUUGGAGUUCGACUAAGCCAUGCAAGUUAGAUGACCUCGUGUCAUCGGCAAACUGCUCAGUAACACGUCGAUAACCUGCCCUUAGGAUUGGGAUAACCUCGGGAAACUGAGGCUAAUACCUUAUAGAGGAUUAUGUCUGGAAUGACUUUUCCUUCAAACGCAAGGCCUAAGGAUGGGACGGCGGCCGAUUAGGUUGUUGGCGGUGUAAUGGACCACCAAGCCAAAGAUCGGUACGGGUCUUGAAAGAGAUAGCCCGGAGAAGGGCACUGAGAUACUGGCCCUAGCCCUACGGGGUGCAGCAGGCGCGAAAACUAUACACUACACGCAAGUGUGAUAAGGGAACUCCAAGUGCUUAUACUAUGUAUAGGCUUUUGUCAAAGUCAAAACCUUUGGCGAAUAAGUGGUGGGUAAGACGGGUGCCAGCCGCCGCGGUAACCCCCGCGCCACAAGUGGGGACCACAUUUAUUGGGCCUAAAGCGUCCGUAGCCGAUCUAGUAAAUCUGCUGUGAAAUUGUUGCGCUUAACGUAACAGCGCGCAGUGGACACUGCUAGAAUAGGGACUGGGGGGAGUCAUGAGUAUUUCUGGGGGAGCGGUAAAAUGUUAUAAUCCCAGAAGGACUACCCGUGGUGAAAACGUAUGACUAACACAGAUCCGACGGUGAGGGACGAAAGCUGGGGGAGCAAUCCGGAUUAGAUACCCGAGUAGUCCCAGCUGUAAACUCUGCGAGCUAGGUGUCACGUAUUCUUCGUGAAUGCGCGGUGUCGUAGUGAAGACGUUAAGCUCGCCGCCUGGGGAGUAUAGUCGCAAGACCGAAACUUAAAGGAAUUGGCGGGGGAGCACUACAAGGGGUGCGGCGUGCGGUUUAAUCCAAUUCAACACGGAGAACCUCACCAGGAGCGACGGCAGGAUGAAAGACAGUCUGAAGGGCUUUCUUGACGAGCCGAGAGGUAGCGCAUGGCCGUCGUCAGCUCAUGCCGUAAGGUGUCCUGUUAAGUCAGGCAACGAGCGAGACCUGUACCUACAAUUGCUAACAACUAGUUUACUAGGAUUGAGCACAUUGUGGGGACUGCCUCUGAAAAGAGGAGGAAGGUGCAGGCUACGGUAGGUCUGUAUGCUCCGAAUCUUCUGGGCUACACGCGCGCAACAAUGGUAACGACACUGGGAUGCAACUCCGAAAGGAGAAGCUAAUCCUCGAAACGUUAUCCUAGUUCAGAUUGAGGGUUGAAACUCACCCUCAUGACGUUGGAAUCCCUAGUAAUCGGACGUUAGCAUCGUCCGGUGAAUAUGUCCCUGCUCCUUGCACACACCGCCCGUCAAACCACCUGAGUAGGGUUUAGGUGAGGUCUCAUUUUUAAUGAGUUCGAACCUAAGCUUUGCGAGGAGGGUUAAGUCGUCACAAGGUA